AAAUAUAAGAUGUAAUAAUAUAUAAUUUAAAACUAUUAUAUGUUUUGAAUGAAUAUAUGAAUGAAUGAUUUAAGAAUUAUUUAAUUAUAGAAGGGUGCGGCCUUAGAGAUGGAGCAAUGGUGAGCGCACACUUGGACCAGGGAGGGGAAGGAGUUCUUAACCCUGAUGCACGUGGCCCCUGCUGUUGUGUCGUUCCCCUAUUGGCUAGAGUGGGUGGAGCAGGUAAUCCGAAUGAAUCAGGGUGGAGCAGGUAAUCGAAAAAGGUUGCUUUAUGAGGAAGUUAAGUUUAAAAGUAAUAGAAGCAUUACUAAAAUUAACUUAAUUGAACUAAAGACAAAGGAGAACAGUGAAUAGUUUACAUGCUAUAGUCCUAAGCCAGGUAGAGAAAGUAGCAUGAAAUUGAAAAGCAAAUUUAAAAAAAUUAUUAUAUUCCCUUAACAGUACUAUGGAAGUCAUAUCCUGAGUUGAUAGAAAUAAGUUAGGCAUUACAAAAGUCAUCAACUUUGCGCCACAUAAUUCAUUGAAUUUCUUCUAGGUAUGGAUUUUUAUAAGGCAAAAAUAAAACUUCUACUGUAUUUGCUAAUACUCUUUUAAAGAUUUUAGAGGAAAAAAACUUUUUUUGUAUCAUAUUACAAAAAAUGAACUUUGUUUCACUUUGGAAAUGAGUACACUCAAUAGUACCCUCUCUCCCCAAUAACUCUUAGUCAUAAUAGCAAAAAUUGUAACCAUAUAUAUGUGUAUAGUACAUGCAUCUGUACAUGCAAGUACUUAUGUAUGUGAGUAAUCAUUUAAACGCUAUGCUCAAAAACAAGAAAAGAAAGUCUUAAAUGCCAGAAAUUAUUAGGAUUACUAAGAAACUAAAGAGAGAUGAUAAAAUUAAACAAUGACUUGAUAACCUAGAAUGUAAGUAAGACCCUGACAGAGAAUGGUACACAGUGGCAGCACAUUAAGUUUCUCCAGACCUAAAGAAAGUAGAGGCCAGAAACAUUAAGAAGGUUGGAGCAACUCAGAGUGAGUUUGGCCAUCAAACUGUGGAAGAUACCUUUGACUGCAGAAUUCUGUACUCAGCUAAACCCAUUGAUAUACGGGAUGAAGACAUUUUUCUAAUAUACAGGAACUCAGUUUACAACCAAAACACUCCCAAAAUACUACUACAGAAAUUAGUCCAUUAAUAAUGAAAGUGAAUUCUAUGAGGAGGUAAUGAGUUGAAAAAAUGUAAUGGUGUACCACAGCCAAAAAAGUAGAAAAAUAUGUCACCAACUAACUUAGUAACACUUGGAAAAAUACAGAACAAUUGUAUCUUUUCCUGAGCUACAAACACUAGCUAUACUAGCUAAAAGCACUAACAAAAUAGUGAACAUAUGUACACACACAUACUAGUGAACAAAUGAUAUAUACACUAAUAGUGAAAAUUAUAUAUAUAAUAUAUACUGUUUGUUAUACAAUAUAUACUAUACAUAUAUACUAUUAGUGAGCAUAUAUCUAUAUGUAUAUAUGUAUAUAUAUAUAUUUCCAUCAUAGCUGAAGUGUAAAAAAAAGAAAAUGAAACUUGAAGCUUCCAGAAAGAAACUUAAAACUUCAUUCAUUCCAGAAUGAAGAGGGAAUGUAAAGACAAAAUGGAAAAUUCACUAUUUCAUGCUUUGAGAGGAGGAAUCAGCCCAAAUAUAGACCCUACAUCUAGGAGACUAGAGUUUUAAUGGCCAAUGGCAAGAGAAAACAUGGCAUUGGGUCUUAAUUCGGUAUAAGAGUUGGAAAUGAGACUUCUAAAUAAAGCUAGGACUUGCAAGUUUUGUCCAUUCAAGACAAAUAAAGAAGAGAGUCUAAAAAAAAAAAAAAUAGCUGUGUCCCAGUGGAAUGAUAGGGAGCUCUUCCCUAUACCAGGGCUUUGAUAGCAAAAAAAAAAGCUCACCACCAAAGAAGGUCUUACAUGAGAAGUAAGUCCUGCAAGCUUCUAUACAACUCCAUGCACAUGGCACUGUUUAGGUAAGUGAGGAGGGUGGCAGGGGGCUGGGAGAUGAGGCUUAGGCAGCCUCACAAAUAAAACUUAGGAAACCACAAUAAGAAAAACAUUUGUCAUAAUGAAAAAACCAGUAAACAAGGGUCUGUCUAAAUGGCCUUAUUAGACCCUUCAAGGCAAUCUGUCAGAACAGAAAUGCAUGAUAAUUUCCUUUCUGCCACAAGCAUAAGAAAAAAGGCUCUUCUCUUCGCUGGUAUUGAAAGAUAUUCAUCUUAAAAUCCCUAAAUAAUGCUGAUUUUUAAAGAAGGAUAUUGUAUUAGUUUUUCAAGCUGGUUGUAACAAAUUAUCAUAAACUGGGGGGCUUCAAACAGCAGAAAUUUACUCUCUCACAGUUCUAGAGUCUAGUCCAAAAUUAAGAUGUUGGUAGAGUCAUUCUCCUACAGAAGAAUCCUUCCUUGCCUCUUUUGGCUUCUGUUGGUUUCCAGCAAUCAUUAGCAUUCCUUGAUUUAUAGCAGCGUAACUCCAGUCUCUGCCUUCAUCUUUGCAGGGCCUUAUUCUCUAAGUCUCCUCUGUGUCUCUGUAUGUCUCCAAAGCUCCCUCAGCUUCUAACGAGUUCCAGCAUUGGAUUGAAGGGCUGCCCUAAUCCGGUAUGACCUCAUAGUAACUCGAUUAUAUCUGCAAAGACCGUAUUUCC
Molecule: long non-coding RNA, 2651 nt
Filed under: Homo sapiens (human)
Lineage: Eukaryota; Metazoa; Chordata; Mammalia; Primates; Hominidae
Description: non-protein coding lnc-CD36-10:1
Source: RNAcentral